CGUUCCUCAGUACAGUACUCCAGCAGGGCUUAUAUAGACAAACCAAACCCAGCCAAAUCAAACCUCCCCAAAUCCAACAUUUCCUGCAUGUCCAAAAUGGGAGACAGGCGCCUGAGUAACCCGGGGCAACCUCCAUCCCCCUUUUACUUCUCUCUCCCCCGUCUCUCCUCCCUCCCGCCUCCUUUCUCCCUCUCCCCCUCCCUCUCUCCUCUGAAUAAGCAAGCUUUUGCCUCUAAAAGUCACAAGUAAUCCUCGUGUGUGACAGAGAGAGAGAGAGAGAGAGAGAGAGAGAGAGAGAGAGAAACGAGCUGGCGGAGAGGAGCAGAAGGCAGGAGGGGAAAUCUGGCACAACGGCUGGGAGAGGAAACUUGAUGCUUCUGGGCCACCAUUUGCCAGGGCCUCGCUCGAGGACAGAGCACCCGGACCCGCGGCGGCAGCGGCAGCGACGCUACCCACCCUCUUCCCCAACACCCACCUAGCCAGCGAGUCACCGAGCCACCGGCCCUCGGCCUGAUUAUGCAUGGGCUGGAGCUGCCUCCUCUAACCUGUUCUUCUCCGAGCCGGGCAGCCGGCGGUCCUCAGCCGCCCACAGAACAGGAGCCGAAACAACCGUUCUCGAAGGCUACAGCGUUUAUUUUUCUCUUUUGGGGGGUUUUGGCGGUUGUUUCAGGGGCUCGCCAACUGGCCCCUUUAAUUAAAAGCUUCAAUAAAAGGCGAUCGCGCCAGGAAUGCACCCGCUCCUCUUCGCGCAGGAUUUGCAUAUUUUUUUAAUGCCCUAAUUUCCUUGAUGUAUGUAAAUGUAGCCGGACGUAGAGGGAGACAGGGAGCUGACGUCAAUGGACGUGACCUCGCAGCUAAACCUUGAACGUGAAGCCGGGAUGGGGGAAAACACGGAGCGGCAGCCGGCGGAGCCCGAGAGCGCGGGCGGCGGCGGCAGUAGCCGAGCCCAGGCCGGGGUGCCAAGGGACCAGUGCCGGCCCCGGGGGAGGACAAGCCGCCGCCUUCUUUCUGCACCGCGCGGCUCUCAGACUCGCCAGCCUUCCGGCCGCACACGCAGACUCUUGCCCUGAGCUUCCAGCCCCACCACACACACGUUCUUUUGCUUCCCUCAGAAAAGCAACACUCCCCAAAACAACAAACCAAAAUCAACAGAUAAAACAGAUGUUUUAGACCAAUGCUCGGGUAGCUUAUCAGAAAGAAGACUCUGACCACGGAACAUAUAUAUUUUUUGGCUUCUCUCCACAAGAAGAGGAGCGAGAGACCACAGACAACAGCAAAUCACUCCUAAAACACGAUAACUACAAGUGCUCCCUGUAGGGAGAGGUAAAUCGCCCAGCCGACUGGUGAAGUCUUCUGGUUUCCGCACACACCACUUCACUCUCCACUCCGAGGCUCAGGGAGCAAGUGCCUGGCAUGGGGGGUAAAAGUUGGCUUUUUUUUUACUCCUUGGUCUUUUGCGCCCUUCUCCCUCUCCCCAGAAGGGAAGACCCAUUUAAACUAUUUUAGACGCAAUCAACCAAGAAUCACCAUGUGGAAUUGAGCGGCAGUUUUAAAUGUGUUGAGCAGGGGAGAGGAAUGAUGAGAAAAACAUUUUUUUUUUUUUUUUUGGAGACGCCGAAAGAAGCCUGUUUGUGUGCUGCGGCCGUGCUGUGACUUUGGAUCUUGUCUUUCAGCCGGCGCCUCGGUUCCUGCCCAGCUGGAUUUGGGGGGCAGCAUUGCCUGGCGCAGGGAGAUCAAGGAAAUCUUCGCGUUGGAAAAGGGAAUUUUGAUGAGACUGCAAAGAAGCAUAAAAUGAAUAGACAAUCCAACCAACCAAAGACCGGGGGCAGCAGCAGGCCAGCAAGACGGCAUCUUCUCCUUCCCAGCCUAGAAGCCCUGUGAAAUCGAGGAUCUUCCCCCUAAAACACAUACACACAAGAUAUGUGCAAUCAAGCUGCCACCGCUUGGUAAAAAGCCAUGGUGCCUAACCAAAAAGGAUCAGGAACAGAUCCUUGAAUCAGCUGUCACUUCUAUAGAAUGGGAUUUUUUUUUCCUUCCUCCUUAACCUGCGCUGGAAAUUGCCGUUGGCUUUAUACAUCUCUAUAGAGAGAGGCUAAAGAGUCUUGCGUGAGAAAGAAGCAAUUUACAAUGCAAAUAGAGGCCUGUGAAGGGACGGAUGCUGCUGCUCACUCGUAACAGCUUGCUGCACCUUAAUAGCUGGUUUUAUUUUCUGAUAUUAAUAGAUGAAUUGUUGGCUAACGCUGCCGGAGAUUACUUGCUGAAAGGAAAAAGAAAAGUUCGGAAUAAACUCUGAAGGCAACAGAUCUCGUUUGGAUGUUUUAGCCGCGCACACACACAAACAGAAACCAGGUCAUAUUUACAUAAAAGGAGGAAUCUUAAGCGCGGCAAGUAUCCUGGACGACCACUCUUCGGUACUGCCAGAAAGGAUCAGGACCUGGAGUCUGGCAAGAGGAAGACAGAGGCCUGUGUGGGAAGCGAGUUGUUAUCUUUGGUUAUCUAGCUGUAUGAGUGUAUUGGUCUUCAUAAAGCUAGAUAACCGAAAGUAAAAACUCCUUCAAGAUCGCCGGGGAGCGUGUGAGAAUGAAAGACUACAGCCGAGAGACAGUAAAAACCAGAAAGGUCAGGAAUACUUAUUGAAUCUAACUUUGUUUUUGUUUUGUUUUUUUCCUUAUGAUUAAAGGUGGGAUGAGAGAAAAUUAAAUGACACACACAUGCUAAAAUAUCAAGGUUCCAGAUAUGUCUUGAGAGGGGUUGUUGCAGCUGCAAAGGAGAAGUGUAUAGUGAUAAUGAGUAAAGAUGCAUGUGCAGUUUGUUCUAUUUUAAGGCAAAAGUUAUAUCAGGGAUUUUUUUCUUAGAAAGGUGUUGCAGAGAUGUCUGGUACCUAGUUUAAAAAUGAUUCCAUAAUAUGUAGACUUGGGCAGUUCCUUUGGGAGGCACCUCCCUCUCAAAAUUUGAAGAUUGUGCUUGGAAAUUACUUUACAUGUAUUUGGGCUGUAUGUCAAUUUGUACGAAAUUAGACUUUCAGAAAAGUUUAUACUGGAAGGUUAAUAAUUUGUAUCUACUGAGGACUUAGAGCUAGCAGGCAAAAUGAAAAAAAAAAAAAAAAAAGCAAGGGCUGAUUUUUAUUCUUCUAUUCAAAAUACAAGGACAGAUGCUUCUCUGUUCCAAGAGGGUUUCCUUGAGGAAGCUACUGAAGCAGAAAGACAUGAUGGAGACGAGAUCGCCUCCCCUCUUGUCAAAGUGUUAAAAAAAUGUUCUGUCUUACUCUGCGCCUAGCAUUGGAAAUGAAAGUGACAUUUACGCCACAACCCACGUGUGCGCCUCCUCUCUUUUUGUUUAAGGAUGAUCAGGUCUAUCCAGGAAACAGCUCUGGCAUCCCAAACUGAAAUAAUUAGGACGUAUAUAGACCUGACAAAAAUGGAAAGGGGGUGGGGAAUCUGAGGGUCUGUCUUGCCUAAUUGAUUCCGCUAAACGGAAUGCAGGAGAUGUGAACGGCAGGACGCUCCGAUUCCCACGCUCGGGGGCAAGUGAUAAAGCGGGGCCGGGCAGCCUAUGACAGACAGCCCUGUUGGGGGGUGGGGGUAUGAAAAAAACAUCAAGUGCACACACCAUACUCAUCUCCAUCGCUUAAGAAAGUAAAGGCAUUUCCCACCCACAGCCAUCUGCAGCUUCCCAAAUGGCAGCACCAACUGGUCUGUAGCUGCUACAUAGUCUGCUUCUGUUAAUUUUUUAACCACUGUUUAAUCUGGCCAUAAUUAAGUUUGGCUUUCUUCGUUGUUUGAGAUUUUCAGAAUUCAAGGCAAGCUAGUAGAAAGCAAUUCCAAGAAAGUCCCAUGACUGCCUGCCCCUAAUGUCAAAAUCUCAGUCCAUGAGAUUAUGGCCUUGUGACCACAUUUUUGCUUUUGUUUUGGGUGGGCAAAUGUGUAUAGAGAUAAAAUACAUAUCUCUAUAUAACAGUCGUUAUUAUAAUUUCAUGAGGCUUUUUACCUCUUAACAUGAUACAUCUAGGAACUUGGUCUAAUUGUGCUAGUAGAUAUACACUAGAAGUAAAACUAUAAAGUCAUUAGCCUGUAGAAAGUUGAUUAUGAUAACAAUAUGAUAAAAAGUUUGUUUUGGAAUAGUCUCAGCUAGAUGGGUCUAAAUAGCCAUUUUAAUGUAAUCUAAAAAUAACACUAUGCCUAGCAGAAACUUUGGCGCUUUGGAGGUCCCCAUUGUCGCCUUUUCAUAAAAGUCCUUAAGUUUUCCAUAUGUCACCAAGCAAACAUUUGUAUAGGCAUUUACACAGAAAUAUAACCAUUGCAAUUAGAAAAUAUCCAAAAUAGCCUGUUAUCUUCCACGUGGCCUAGAUUAUUGACAAUCCCAAAUAUACAAUUUUUCUUUAAAAGUAGUACAAUUUCCUUUGUAGCUUCAAUUCCUUAUAUGACUUCAGACUGGAGAAGCCUGUUAAACCACUGUUAGUUUCAGUUAGAAAGUCUGAGAGACUUUAUACAUAAAUUCUCAAUUUGGCUGCUGUACACGUGCCAGAGUUUUACUACUGUAGUGACCGUUGAGAAGACCCUUGUUUAUUUACAUUUGAAGCACUGUUUGUGCAAACAACCUUUCAUUGUUAAGUGCCUGUAUUCCUUUCAUUUACUUCAUGUCCAGGGGUGCUAUUUACCUAGAACCAUUGUCUACUACAAUUAACAUUUACAUUACAAAGUGUGUGGUUUUCUUUUUCAAGGAGGUUCAAUUAAGGCAAUAAGAUGUUUGCUGGAGAAACCUAUUGUUUACUGAAAGCACUCAAUGAAGUCAAAUUACUGAAGCUUUUGCCUACAUCUUGGUCUUUUAUGUAAAUAUGUUAAAUAUAACAUCUAAGGAAAAUAAACAAUAUUAUAAUUAUGUGUUUGCCAUUGUCAUAUCAAACUUGCUUUGUAUCAUACUAAUGUUACAUAACUUAUCGAUCAAUAAAAAUACAUUUCAAUGUUCACACCGCCGUCCGCGGGCUGAGCUUCAGUGACACCGAAGGGCACUGGCCAACAUGUCAAAACAGUUUUGAUUCCAUGAACCAAAGGGCGCACAAGGUCUAUUGCAAGCUCAGGUGAAGUCGUGGGACUCCAAAGGUAGUGGCUUUCUUGCUGCUGGUCGAUUUGCAUUACAGAGGCCGUUUACUUUCAAUUCCACUUUUACAAAAGUAGUCAAGCUCUGUAUUUCACAGCAGAGAUAGAAGAUAAGGCUCUGCCCACAGUCUCCAGGCUGCAGCAUCUGGUGAGGAAGGGAAGGUGUAUGGCUGCAUUGUUUUUCUCUUGGUGUUCAACUGGAAUAGAGCAGGAAAUUGCUUUGGAGAUGAGGAAACAAACUCUUAUGGAGACCUAAGAGACUGAAGACAUCUGGCGUGGACUACUCUGAUGGUAAAAUUGAAAGUACACCUAAAUUUGCUUUGUUACAGGAUUCUCUUCAGAGGACAAGAGAAGAUGUUACAUUCUCUGCAUGAGGACAAUUCUGCAGCAUCAAAAUCGAAUAAUAUUUGUUUUCUGGCAGCAGAAUUUUGUAUCAUAUUUCUAAAGACAGUAAGCACUUGGGUGGACGUCAAUGAAUACUAAACACUAAUUGAUCUGAUACAGCCGUAUGCACAUACACAGAUAUACAUGGUGGCUUGUAAUGGUUGAAAAAUUACGGUUUGGUUUUAUUAAAAGAUCUGUCACUUUUAGGUCAGAGUGGGAUUUUGGAGGGAUAGUCUCCCACAAUAGAAAACUACCCUGACAACAGUGGUGUUUUGAGGUUGUUUGUUGUUUGGCUUCUUGAUGAUGCUUAGCUAAGGAGACACUUCCUUUCAGAUUCUGUCUUCCAAACCCCAGGGCUCUGUUCUGGGCAGUUCAGCCUAAUGGAAUUAAGCCUGACAUGUUUCAACUCUAUUUCUUGAUAAAAUAAACAUAAAACAAUGGUUUAGAUUUCGAAUAAAACUCUUGAAGCAUGGGGGACUCAUUGCUUCCAGCUGUUCGUGGACCAAUACUAGAUGCCAGCAAUAGAGAAAUCACUGCAGUUCCCCAAAGGAAAAAAGUCACGUGUUCAUGAUGAUCAAACACAGCUGUUUGAUUGGUGUUAAAAUGGAUCUGCCUGAUAAGACCUGGAACUGAGAACCCAAACAGAGCCUUAAGGUAAGCUCCCAAGGGAAGUGCUGGCAGUAGAUAUUCAGAGGGAUGACACAUGCUUCAUACAGUAAGUGCUUC
RNAcentral lists this long non-coding RNA (6206 nucleotides) under Homo sapiens (human). Its description in RNAcentral is "long non-coding RNA NONHSAT204426.1". The stretch from base 2477 to 2552 matches the Rfam family "mir-9/mir-79 microRNA precursor family". Lineage: Eukaryota; Metazoa; Chordata; Mammalia; Primates; Hominidae. The record is from RNAcentral.